Molecule: ribosomal RNA, 397 nt
Filed under: uncultured bacterium
Lineage: Bacteria
Description: bacterial SSU rRNA
Rfam family: Bacterial small subunit ribosomal RNA
Source: RNAcentral
GAAUGAACGCUGGCGGCGCGCCUAAUACAUGCAAGUCGAGCGAGAAGACGUAGCAAUACGUUUGUAAAGCGGCGAACGGGUGAGGAAUACAUGGGUAACCUACCCUCGAGUGGGGAAUAACUAGCCGAAAGGUUAGCUAAUACCGCGUACGCUCCUUGGACUUCGGUUCAGGGAGGAAAGCGAUACCGUGGGUAUCGCGCUCUUGGUUGGGCUCAUGUCCUAUCAGCUUGUUGGUGAGGAACGGCUCACCAAGGCUUCGACGGGUAGCUGGUCUGAGAGGACGAUCAGCCACACUGGCACUGCGACACGGGCCAGACUCCUACGGGAGGCAGCAGUAAGGAAUAUUGCGCAAUGGGCGAAAGCCUGACGCAGCGACGCCGCGUGGGGGAUGAAGGUC